AUCGCUUCUCGGCCUUUUGGCUAAGAUCAAGUGUAGAAAUUCCCCUGGGAUCUAAGAGUCCUAUUUUCCUUUCCGAAUGGAGGACAUAGGUUGUAAAUAUCUAUGUCAUAGUGGAGAGAUAUUAUGCGAUGUUGAUAAAAUGUACUGCAGCUUCCUUCCGCUUUCCAUU
This is a small nuclear RNA of Rattus norvegicus (Norway rat), 169 nucleotides long. Ensembl annotates it as U2 spliceosomal RNA. NCBI's taxonomy places the organism in Eukaryota, Metazoa, Chordata, Mammalia, Rodentia, Muridae. The record is from Ensembl.